This is a non-coding RNA of Glossina fuscipes fuscipes, 199 nucleotides long. Lineage: Eukaryota; Metazoa; Arthropoda; Insecta; Diptera; Glossinidae. The record is from Rfam.
AGGUCCCGCGAUCAGGAGCGUGCUAGCGACAACCAGCCCCCGCGAAGUAAUACCUAACGGUGGUCCCGCGGGGGAGAGUGGUAGACGAAGUGUGUGUGGGGGGCUAGUUUUUAGUACGUAUGCGCCAGGGAUGGCGAAUCGUGCAUGCUGCUACCAAGACCCAGCACUAUCUUUCUAAGAUUUUCUACCUCCAGCUCAC